AUACGGAGGAUCCGAGCGUUAUCCGGAUUUAUUGGGUUUAAAGGGUGCGCAGGCGGGAGAUUAAGUCGGCGGUGAAAUUUUGCAGCUCAACUGUAAAAGUGCCUUCGAAACUGGUUUCCUUGAGUGUAGAUGAAGUAGGCGGAAUUUGGGGUGUAGCGGUGAAAUGCAUAGAUAUCACGAGGAACUCCGAUUGCGCAGGCAGCUUACUAAACUACUACUGACGCUCAGGCACGAAGGCGUGGGGAUCAAACAGGAUUAGAUACCCUGGUAGUCCACGCAGUAAACGAUGAUUACUAGCUGUUUGCGAUACAAUGUAAGCGGCUGAGCGAAAGCGUUAAGUAAUCCACCUGGGGAGUACGUUCGCAAGAAUGAAACUCAAAUGAAUUGGCGGGG
Molecule: ribosomal RNA, 393 nt
Filed under: uncultured bacterium
Lineage: Bacteria
Description: partial 16S ribosomal RNA
Rfam family: Bacterial small subunit ribosomal RNA
Source: RNAcentral